GCGGCAGUAGUCUAGCCUGGUUAAAUCGAAAGAUUCCAGUUAGGACUCCGCCUUGCCAAGGCGGGAACUCGGGUUCAAAUCCCGACUGCCGCAC
RNAcentral lists this transfer RNA (94 nucleotides) under uncultured archaeon. RNAcentral's name for it is "tRNA-Glu(ttc)". It matches the Rfam family "tRNA". From Rfam's summary of the family: Transfer RNA (tRNA) molecules are approximately 80 nucleotides in length. Their secondary structure includes four short double-helical elements and three loops (D, anti-codon, and T loops). The record is from RNAcentral.